This 24-nucleotide transfer RNA is filed under the name Syntrichia sarconeurum. RNAcentral's name for it is "partial tRNA-Ser". The record is from RNAcentral. Lineage: Eukaryota; Viridiplantae; Streptophyta; Bryopsida; Pottiales; Pottiaceae. RNAcentral also lists the same sequence under 1 other name.
CGAGGGUUCGAAUCCCUCUCUUUC